AUGGAGAUGUCUGUCUCGUCCUUCCUCUGCGUAGAAUCUCCCUUUUCAUCAUUAUUUUUUACAUUUCUCUCUGUGUACUUCCCAAGCCUGUCUUUGUCUAGAAGUUGCACACGUCCCACUUUGGAGGUGGUUUCCUUCCCCGUACUGGCUACAUUGAUCCAGGCCGCCACACACUUUUCUGAGCGUAUCCUGUCACGUCUUCUGCUGUCAUUACAGUCGGGAUCCCCUAAACAGUUCUCCUUAGCACAGAUGACGCGAUCAGAGAAGCUAAAUGAGCGUUUUGGCACUCCUUUCAACGGCGUAUUCCUCCCUUUGUGUGCAUCAGAUUGGCUGUCAUCUUCGUCUGAGUAUUUUCUCCUCCCAGGUCGGAGGAAAUUAUCAGAGCUUUUGGAUCGUGAUGGGGGCUUUGGGUGCUCUCCGAAUUUACUCAGCAGCUGGCUGACCCUCCCUCCUCUGUCCACUAACACAUUGUCCUCCAAGCUAUCCUUCCUGUCUUCCUUGACAACUGUUGCCUGGCACCAAGGUUUCUCUUUUUCUCUCAACCAGGAUAGAUCUGAUCUGAACUCCCUGCCCAUGCUCUCCCACUUUCCCUCCGUGCCAACUUUCAUCUCACCAUCUUCUCUACUUUUUGUUCCUCUUCCCAUGGCAUUUCCUUCUUCUGUGCUUUCUGAUGGCUUUAUGAUCAAAACCUCUGAGGCUCGAAUCUCAGUGAUGCUUCCUCCUACAGAAAGUAUCUCUCUUAGGUCCACCUUCACACCACUCUUCUCUUGGUGGUCUUCCUUACUCUUCUCCUUCUCCGUGUCCCUCUGUCUGCCCCUUUUGUCAUCUCUGUCCUGUUCAAUGAUGAUGAUAUUGUCAGCUCGGAUGGUCCGAAGACAGGGGACAUGGGGCGGCAGAGAAGUACUUAAAGUAUCUGACUCUUUAUCCUCCUCAUCGUUUCUCACUUUGAGAAAAUCCCAUUCCCUGGCAACACCUCUGACAGACUCUCUGCACUGGUUCUUAUCCUUUCCCCAUCUACCCCUGCUUUUGUCUGGUGCGUGUUCCUGGCUUCUGUCCCAGCCUUUCUCUUUUUGA
RNAcentral lists this long non-coding RNA (1074 nucleotides) under Takifugu rubripes (torafugu). Its description in RNAcentral is "lncRNA (ENSTRUG00000029088.1)". The record is from RNAcentral. Lineage: Eukaryota; Metazoa; Chordata; Actinopteri; Tetraodontiformes; Tetraodontidae.